Molecule: ribosomal RNA, 355 nt
Filed under: uncultured bacterium
Lineage: Bacteria
Description: SSU rRNA
Rfam family: Bacterial small subunit ribosomal RNA
Source: RNAcentral
AGAACGAACGCUGGCGGCGUGGAUAAGACAUGCAAGUCGAACGCGACUUAUCUGGUUAGCAAUAACUAGGUAAGUUGAGUGGCGAAAGGGUGCGUAACACGUGGGAAUUUACCAAAAAGUGGGGGAAUAGCUCGGCGAAAGCCGAAUUAAUACCGCAUGUGAUCGAAAGAUCAAAGCCGGGGACCGCAAGGCCUGGCGCUUUUUGAGAAGCCCGCGGCCCAUCAGCUAGUUGGCGGGGUAAAAGCCCACCAAGGCUAUGACGGGUAGCUGGUCUGAGAGGACGACCAGCCACACUGGAACUGAGACACGGUCCAGACACCUACGGUGGCAGCAGUCGAGAAUUUUUUCACAAUGG